Molecule: ribosomal RNA, 689 nt
Filed under: uncultured Actinobacteridae bacterium
Lineage: Bacteria; Bacillati; Actinomycetota; Actinomycetes
Description: bacterial SSU rRNA
Rfam family: Bacterial small subunit ribosomal RNA
Source: RNAcentral
GUGGCGAACGGGUGAGUAACACGUGAGUAACCUGCCCUUGACUCUGGGAUAAGCGUUGAAAACGACGUCUAAUACCGGAUACGAGCUGGGACCGCAUGGUCACCAGCUGGAAAGAACUUCGGUCAAGGAUGGACUCGCGGCCUAUCAGCUAGUUGGUGAGGUAACGGCUCACCAAGGCGACGACGGGUAGCCGGCCUGAGAGGGUGACCGGCCACACUGGGACUGAGACACGGCCCAGACUCCUACGGGAGGCAGCAGUGGGGAAUAUUGCACAAUGGGCGCAAGCCUGAUGCAGCAACGCCGCGUGAGGGACGACGGCCUUCGGGUUGUAAACCUCUUUUAGCAGGGAAGAAGCGAAAGUGACGGUACCUGCAGAAAAAGCACCGGCUAACUACGUGCCAGCAGCCGCGGUAAUACGUAGGGUGCAAGCGUUGUCCGGAAUUAUUGGGCGUAAAGAGCUCGUAGGCGGUCUGUCGCGUCUGCUGUGAAAACCCGAGGCUCAACCUCGGGCCUGCAGUGGGUACGGGCAGACUAGAGUGCGGUAGGGGAGAUUGGAAUUCCUGGUGUAGCGGUGGAAUGCGCAGAUAUCAGGAGGAACACCGAUGGCGAAGGCAGAUCUCUGGGCCGUAACUGACGCUGAGGAGCGAAAGCGUGGGGAGCGAACAGGAUUAGAUACCCUGGUAGUCCAC